RNAcentral lists this ribosomal RNA (501 nucleotides) under uncultured Glomeromycotina. Its description in RNAcentral is "partial small subunit ribosomal RNA". It matches the Rfam family "Eukaryotic small subunit ribosomal RNA", at positions 591 to 1091 of the family's 1831-position model. Lineage: Eukaryota; Fungi; Glomeromycota. The record is from RNAcentral.
CCAAUAGCGUAUAUUAAAGUUGUUGCAGUUAAAAAGCUCGUAGUUGAACUUCGGGGUUCACCCAUUGGUCAGGCUUAAUUGUCUGUACUGGUGAGAUGAGUCUCUACCUUCUGAGGAACUUUCAUGCCAUUUAUUUGGUGUGAUUGGAAAUCAGGACUGUUACUUUGAAAAAAUUAGAGUGUUUAAAGCAGGCUAACGUCUGAAUACAUUAGCAUGGAAUAAUGAAAUAGGACGGAUUGAUUCUAUUUCGUUGGUUUCUAGGGUCACCGUAAUGAUUAAUAGGGAUAGUUGGGGGCAUUAGUAUUCAAUUGUCAGAGGUGAAAUUCUUGGAUUUAUUGAAGACUAACUACUGCGAAAGCAUUUGCCAAGGAUGUUUUCAUUAAUCAAGAACGAAAGUUAGGGGAUCGAAGACGAUCAGAUACCGUCGUAGUCUUAACCAUAAACUAUGCCGACUAGGGAUCGGACGCAGUUAAUUUUAUAAUGACGUGUUCGGCACCUUAC